This 465-nucleotide ribosomal RNA is filed under the name uncultured bacterium. RNAcentral's name for it is "partial 16S ribosomal RNA". It matches the Rfam family "Bacterial small subunit ribosomal RNA", at positions 28 to 507 of the family's 1533-position model. The record is from RNAcentral.
GACGAACGCUGGCGGCGUGCUUAACACAUGCAAGUCGUACGGUAAGGCCCUUUCGGGGGUACACGAGUGGCGAACGGGUUAGUAACACGUGAGUAACCUGCCCACAACUUUGGGAUAACGCUAGGAAACUGGUGCUAAUACUGGAUAUGUGCUCCUGCUGCAUGGUGGGGGUUGGAAAGCUCCGGCGGUUGUGGAUGGACUCGCGGCCUAUCUGCUUGUUGGUGGGGUAGUGGCCUACCAAGGCGGCGACGGGUAGCCGGCCUGAGAGGGUGACCGGCCACACUGGGACUGAGAGACGGCCCAGACUCCUACGGGAGGCAGCAGUGGGGAAUAUUGCACAAUGGGCGCAAGCCUGAUGCAGCAACGCCGCGUGCGGGAUGACGGCCUUCGGGUUGUAAACCGCUUUCAGCAGGGACGAAGCUUUUUGUGACGGUACCUGCAGAAGAAGCACCGGCUAACUACGUG